Molecule: long non-coding RNA, 299 nt
Filed under: Elaeis guineensis (African oil palm)
Lineage: Eukaryota; Viridiplantae; Streptophyta; Magnoliopsida; Arecales; Arecaceae
Description: long non-coding RNA (EGUI_LNC064664)
Source: RNAcentral
GCUCGACUCGAGUUCAUCUGUGAAUUUCAUAGAAACUCUUUUCUAGUAUUCACACUUACUCUGGUCAGAGAUUUUCUAAACUCAGUCUUGCAAAUCGCAUAGGACUUCUCUUUUUCUAUCAAGGUCGAUAGAUUCCAUCUAGGUGCAUCCUACUCUAAAUAGUAAAUCUGAACCUACAAUAGCCAACAUACACAAAAAGGACCCGAAUGGCUAGGGACCAAAGAAUGUACAAUCAAACUAUGUAGCUUCGCUGUGAAUAGUCAAUACACCGUAGGUCAAAAGACCAGUCACACCAUUGC